GUGAAGCGGCAACAGCUCAAAUUUGAAAUCUGGCCGCAAGGUCCGAGUUGUAAUUUGCAGAGGAUGCUUUUGGCGAGGUGCCUUCCGAGUUCCCUGGAACGGGACGCCAUAGAGGGUGAGAGCCCCGUACGGUAGGACCACCGAGCCUUUGUAAAGCUCCUUCGACGAGUCGAGUAGUUUGGGAAUGCUGCUCUAAAUGGGAGGUGUACGUCUUCUAAAGCUAAAUACCGGCCAGAGACCGAUAGCGCACAAGUAGAGUGAUCGAAAGAUGAAAAGCACUUUGAAAAGAGGGUUAAAAAGUACGUGAAAUUGUUGAAAGGGAAGCAUUCAUGACCAGACUUGGGCUUGGUUGAACAUCCGGCGUUCUCGCCGGUGCACUCUGCCAGUCCAGGCCAGCAUCAGUUUGCCCCGGGGGAUAAAGGCGGUGGGAAUGUGGCUCUCUCCGGGGAGUGUUAUAGCCCGCCGUGUAAUGCCCUGGGGCGGACUGAGGAACGCGC
Molecule: ribosomal RNA, 497 nt
Filed under: Sarocladium spinificis
Lineage: Eukaryota; Fungi; Ascomycota; Sordariomycetes; Hypocreales; Sarocladiaceae
Description: partial 28S ribosomal RNA
Rfam family: Eukaryotic large subunit ribosomal RNA
Source: RNAcentral